Molecule: ribosomal RNA, 1346 nt
Filed under: uncultured bacterium
Lineage: Bacteria
Description: bacterial SSU rRNA
Rfam family: Bacterial small subunit ribosomal RNA
Source: RNAcentral
GACGAACGCUUGCGGCGUGCUUAACACAUGCAAGUCGAACGGAAAGGCCCUGCUUUUGUGGGGUGCUCGAGUGGCGAACGGGUGAGUAACACGUGAGUAACCUGCCCUUGACUUUGGGAUAACUUCAGGAAACUGGGGCUAAUACCGGAUAGGAGCUCCUGCUGCAUGGUGGGGGUUGGAAAGUUUCGGCGGUUGGGGAUGGACUCGCGGCUUAUCAGCUUGUUGGUGGGGUAGUGGCUUACCAAGGCUUUGACGGGUAGCCGGCCUGAGAGGGUGACCGGCCACAUUAGGACUGAGAUACGGCCCAGACUCCUACGGGAGGCAGCAGUGGGGAAUAUUGCACAAUGGGCGGAAGCCUGAUGCAGCAACGCCGCGUGCGGGAUGACGGCCUUCGGGUUGUAAACCGCUUUCGCCUGUGACGAAGCGUGAGUGACGGUAAUGGGUAAAGAAGCACCGGCUAACUACGUGCCAGCAGCCGCGGUGAUACGUAGGGUGCGAGCGUUGUCCGGAUUUAUUGGGCGUAAAGGGCUCGUAGGUGGUUGAUCGCGUCGGAAGUGUAAUCUUGGGGCUUAACCCUGAGCGUGCUUUCGAUACGGGUUGACUUGAGGAAGGUAGGGGAGAAUGGAAUUCCUGGUGGAGCGGUGGAAUGCGCAGAUAUCAGGAGGAACACCAGUGGCGAAGGCGGUUCUCUGGGCCUUUCCUGACGCUGAGGAGCGAAAGCGUGGGGAGCGAACAGGCUUAGAUACCCUGGUAGUCCACGCUGUAAACGGUGGGUACUAGGUGUGGGGUCCAUUCCACGGGUUCCGUGCCGUAGCUAACGCUUUAAGUACCCCGCCUGGGGAGUACGGCCGCAAGGCUAAGACUCAAAGGAAUUGACGGGGCCCCGCACAAGCGGCGGAGCAUGCGGAUUAAUUCGAUGCAACGCGUAGAACCUUACCUGGGUUUGACAUGGAUCGGGAGCGCUCAGAGAUGGGUGUGCCUCUUUUGGGGUCGGUUCACAGGUGGUGCAUGGCUGUCGUCAGCUCGUGUCGUGAGAUGUUGGGUUAAGUCCCGCAACGAGCGCAACCCUUGUUCACUGUUGCCAGCACGUUAUGGUGGGGACUCAGUGGAGACCGCCGGGGUCAACUCGGAGGAAGGUGGGGAUGACGUCAAGUCAUCAUGCCCCUUAUGUCCAGGGCUUCACGCAUGCAACAAUGGCUGGUACAGAGAGUGGCGAGCCUGUGAGGGUGAGCGAAUCUCGGAAAGCCGGUCUCAGUUCGGAUUGGGGUCUGCAACUCGACCUCAUGAAGUCGGAGUCGCUAGUAAUCGCAGAUCAGCAACGCUGCGGUGAAUACGUUCCCGGGGCU